This 301-nucleotide long non-coding RNA is filed under the name Phoenix dactylifera (date palm). RNAcentral describes it as "long non-coding RNA (PDAC_LNC007923)". Lineage: Eukaryota; Viridiplantae; Streptophyta; Magnoliopsida; Arecales; Arecaceae. The record is from RNAcentral.
UCACUCUUUGGUGAUCUUGUAGAAUUAAGAAGAAAUUUAGAAGAAAUGGGGUUGUCGAACCGACUCCAUGACGUCUCCAGCGACUCCAUCCCGAUCCUCCUGGUCGUGACGGCAGCCGAGUGGGUCUCCUACCUUCGCUCCCUCCUCCUCUGCCUCCUCCACUCCCUCGGCCUCCUCCGUCUCCACCCCGCCGACGAAGACCCCCUCGUCCCAGCCGCCGGAUCCGGCCUCGCCGGCCUCGUCGUCAUCGCCGCCUCCACCCGCUCCUUCAUCUACGAGCCCGCGCCGUCGGCGGCGGAGG